RNAcentral lists this ribosomal RNA (253 nucleotides) under uncultured bacterium. RNAcentral's name for it is "partial 16S ribosomal RNA". It matches the Rfam family "Bacterial small subunit ribosomal RNA", at positions 524 to 774 of the family's 1533-position model. The record is from RNAcentral.
UACGGAGGGGGUUAGCGUUGUUCGGAAUGACUGGGCGUAAAGCGCGCGUAGGCGGAUCGGAAAGUCGGGGGGUGAAAUCCCGGGGCUCAACCCCGGAAUGGCCUUCGAAACUCCCGGUCUGAGUUCGAGAGAGGUGAGUGGAAUUCCGAGUGUAGAGGUGAAAUUCGUGAGAUAUUCGGAGGAACACCAGUGGCGAAGGCGGCUCACUGGCUCCGACACUGACGCUGAGGUGCGAAAGCGUGGGGAGCAACAG